Molecule: ribosomal RNA, 483 nt
Filed under: uncultured bacterium
Lineage: Bacteria
Description: partial 16S ribosomal RNA
Rfam family: Bacterial small subunit ribosomal RNA
Source: RNAcentral
AUUGAACGCUGGCGGCAGGCCUAACACAUGCAAGUCGAGCGGAUGAAGGGAGCUUGCUCCUGGAUUCAGCGGCGGACGGGUGAGUAAUGCCUAGGAAUCUGCCUGGUAGUGGGGGAUAACGUCCGGAAACGGGCGCUAAUACCGCAUACGUCCUGAGGGAGAAAGUGGGGAUGUUUGGACCCCACGCUACCGGAUGAGCCUAGGUCGGAUUAGCUAGUUGGUGGGGUAAAGGCCUACCAAGGCGACGAUCCGUAACUGGUCUGAGAGGAUGAUCAGUCACACUGGAACUGAGACACGGUCCAGAGGCCUACGGGAGGCAGCAGUGGGGAAUAUUGGGCAAUGGGCGAAAGCCUGAUCCAGCCAGGCCGCGUGUGUGAAGAAGGUCUUCGGAUUGUAAAGCACUUUAAGUUGGGAGGAAGGGCAGUAAGUUAAUACCUUGCUGUUUUGACGGUACCAACAGAAUAAGCACCGGCUAACUUCGUG